CUUGCCCGGGAACUACGAGCCCCAGCUUAAAACCCAAAGGACUUGGCGGUGCUUUAGACCCCCCUAGAGGAGCCUGUUCUAGAACCGAUAAUCCCCGUUCAACCUCACCCUCCCUUGUUUUUCCCGCCUAUAUACCGCCGUCGUCAGCCUACCCUAUGAAGGAUAAAUAGUAAGCAUAAUUGGUAAAACCUAAAACGUCAGGUCGAGGUGUAGCUUACGGGAGGGGAAGAAAUGGGCUACAUUCACUGACUCAGUGAACACGGACAAUGCCUUGAAACAAGCAUUUAAAGGAGGAUUUAGCAGUAAGAAAAGAAAAGAGUGCUUUUCUGAAACUGGCCCUGAAGCGCGCACACACCGCCCGUCACUCUCCCCAAAAAACCACCAUGCCCUAAAUAAAAUGAACCUGAAACAAAGGGGAGGCAAGUCGUAACAUGGUAAGUGUACCGGAAGGUGCACUUGGAUAAAC
This 466-nucleotide ribosomal RNA is filed under the name Eugnathogobius oligactis. Its description in RNAcentral is "partial 12S ribosomal RNA". It matches the Rfam family "Bacterial small subunit ribosomal RNA", at positions 868 to 1527 of the family's 1533-position model. The record is from RNAcentral. Lineage: Eukaryota; Metazoa; Chordata; Actinopteri; Gobiiformes; Gobiidae.